UUUUAUGCUCAUAUUCGGCUGAAAUACACCGAAUUCCGUCCGGUCUCUAAAGUAAAUUAGUCGGAAGACAUUUUAAUACUUGUAUGGGAAACUUUCUGGAAACUGUUAGUGAUGUAAGCC
Strongyloides papillosus is the source of this 120-nucleotide non-coding RNA. NCBI's taxonomy places the organism in Eukaryota, Metazoa, Nematoda, Chromadorea, Rhabditida, Strongyloididae. The record is from Rfam.